Molecule: ribosomal RNA, 426 nt
Filed under: uncultured bacterium
Lineage: Bacteria
Description: bacterial SSU rRNA
Rfam family: Bacterial small subunit ribosomal RNA
Source: RNAcentral
GAAUUGUUCGCAAUGGGCGCAAGCCUGACGACGCAACGCCGCGUGGAGGAUGAAGAUCUUCGGGUCGUAAACUCCUUUCGAUCGAGACGAACGGCCUCCGGGUGAACAAUCCGGGGGAGUGACGGUACCGGGCGAAGAAGCCCCGGCUCACUCCGGGCCAGCAGCCGCGGUAAUACGGGGGGGGCAAGCGUUGUUCGGAAUUACUGGGCGUAAAGGGCUCGUAGGCGGCCAACUAAGUCGGACGUGAAAUCCCUCGGCUUAACCGGGGAACUGCGUCCGAUACUGGAUGGCUUGAGACCGGGAGAGGGAUGCGGAAUUCCAGGUGUAGCGGUGAAAUGCGUAGAUAUCUGGAGGAACACCGGUGGCGAAGGCGGCAUCCUGGACCGACACUGACGCUGAGGAGCGAAAGCCAGGGGAGCAAGCGGG